RNAcentral lists this ribosomal RNA (292 nucleotides) under uncultured bacterium. RNAcentral describes it as "partial 16S ribosomal RNA". The record is from RNAcentral.
GGACUACACGGGUAUCUAAUCCUGUUUGCUCCCCACGCUCUCGCGCCUCAGCGUCAGUCUCUGUCCAGGCAGCCGCCUUCGCCACCGGUGUUCCUUCCGAUCUCUACGCAUUUCACUGCUACACCGGAAAUUCCACUGCCCUCUACAGUACUCCAGCCUUCCAGUCAUCGAUGCCGUUCCCAGGUUAAGCCCGGGGCUUUCACAUCAAUCUUAAAAGACCGCCUACGCGCCCUUUACGCCCAGUGAUUCCGAUUAACGCUCGCACCCUCUGUAUUACCGCGGCUGCUGGCAC